This 148-nucleotide signal recognition particle RNA is filed under the name Nomascus leucogenys (northern white-cheeked gibbon). RNAcentral's name for it is "Metazoan signal recognition particle RNA". It matches the Rfam family "Metazoan signal recognition particle RNA". From Rfam's summary of the family: The signal recognition particle (SRP) is a universally conserved ribonucleoprotein. Lineage: Eukaryota; Metazoa; Chordata; Mammalia; Primates; Hylobatidae. The record is from Rfam by way of RNAcentral.
GCUGGGCAUGGUGGUGCGUGCUUGUAAUCCCAGCUACUUAGGAGGCUGAGGCAGGAGAAUCGCUUGAACCCGGGAGGCAGAGGUUGCAGUGAGCGGAGAUCGCGCCACUGCACUCCAGCCUGGGUGACAGAGCGAGAUUCCGCCUCAA